RNAcentral lists this transfer RNA (92 nucleotides) under Trametes sanguinea. RNAcentral's name for it is "tRNA-Phe". It matches the Rfam family "tRNA". Rfam says of the family: Transfer RNA (tRNA) molecules are approximately 80 nucleotides in length. Lineage: Eukaryota; Fungi; Basidiomycota; Agaricomycetes; Polyporales; Polyporaceae. The record is from RNAcentral.
GCCGGGAUAGCUCAGCUGGGAGAGCAACAGACUGAAGCCGAUCGAGAUCGGGCGAUUUCUGGAGGUCGUGUGUUCAAUCCACGCUCCUGGCA